GACGAACCGUGCGAACGUUAUUCGGAAUCACUGGGCUUAAAGCGCGUGUAGGCGGGUGGGAACGUCGGCCACUGAAAGCCCCCGGCUCAACCGGGGAAGGGGUGCCGAAACGGCCCGCCUGGAGGGGCGUAGGGGGACCUGGAACUUCCGGUGGAGCGGUGAAAUGCGUUGAGAUCGGAAGGAACGCCCGUGGCGAAAGCGAGGUCCUGGACGUCAUCUGACGCUGAGACGCGAAAGCUAGGGGAGCGAACGGG
Molecule: ribosomal RNA, 254 nt
Filed under: uncultured bacterium
Lineage: Bacteria
Description: partial 16S ribosomal RNA
Rfam family: Bacterial small subunit ribosomal RNA
Source: RNAcentral